Molecule: ribosomal RNA, 491 nt
Filed under: uncultured bacterium
Lineage: Bacteria
Description: partial 16S ribosomal RNA
Rfam family: Bacterial small subunit ribosomal RNA
Source: RNAcentral
GUGAACGCUGGCGGUAGGCCUAACACAUGCAAGUCGAACGGCAGCACAGUAAGAGCUUGCUCUUACGGGUGGCGAGUGGCGGACGGGUGAGGAAUACAUCGGAAUCUACUUUUUCGUGGGGGAUAACGUAGGGAAACUUACGCUAAUACCGCAUACGACCUACGGGUGAAAGCAGGGGAUCUUCGGACCUUGCGCGAUUGAAUGAGCCGAUGUCGGAUUAGCUAGAUGGCGGGGUAAAGGCCCACCAAGGCGACGAUCCGUAGCUGGUCUGAGAGGAUGAUCAGCCACACUGGAACUGAGACACGGUCCAGACUCCUACGGGAGGCAGCAGUGGGGAAUAUUGGACAAUGGGCGCAAGCCUGAUCCAGCCAUACCGCGUGGGUGAAGAAGGCCUUCGGGUUGUAAAGCCCUUUUGUUGGGAAAGAAAAGCAGCAGGUUAAUACCCCGCUGUUCUGACGGUACCCAAAGAAUAAGCACCGGCUAACUUCGUG